This is an RNA transcript of Myotis lucifugus (little brown bat), 4189 nucleotides long. It is a transcript of the gene named ATPase H+ transporting V0 subunit a2, with no coding region annotated. Lineage: Eukaryota; Metazoa; Chordata; Mammalia; Chiroptera; Vespertilionidae. The transcript has 21 exons. The record is from RefSeq and is a predicted model, not a curated record.
AUGGGGUCUCUGUUCCGGAGCGAGCCCAUGUGCCUGGCGCAGCUCUUCCUGCAGUCGGGCACGGCCUACGAGUGCCUGAGCGCCCUGGGCGAGAAGGGCCUGGUCCAGUUCCGAGACCUCAACCAGAAUGUAAGUUCUUUCCAAAGAAAAUUCGUUGGCGAGGUGAAGCGGUGUGAGGAGCUGGAGCGGAUCCUGGCGUACCUGGUGCAGGAGAUUCACAGAGCUGACAUCCCGCUCCCCGAGGGCGAGACCAGCCCCCCUGCCCCGCCUCUGAAGCAGGUCCUGGAAAUGCAGGAGCAGCUGCAGAAGCUGGAGGUGGAGCUGAGGGAAGUCACGAGGAACAAGGAGAAGCUGAGGAAGAACUUGCUGGAGCUGAUCGAGUACACGCACAUGCUGCGGGUGACCAAGACCUUCGUGCGGCGGAACGUGGAGUUUGAGCCCACGUAUGAAGAAUUCCCCGCCUUGGACAGCGACUCCUUGCUGGACUACAGCUCUAUGCAGAGGCUGGGAGCGAAACUGGGCUUCGUGUCCGGCCUCAUCCACCAGGGGAAGGUGGAGGCGUUUGAGAGGAUGCUGUGGAGGGUCUGCAAAGGGUACACCAUCGUGACCUACGCAGAGCUGGACGAGUCCCUCGAGGACCCGGAAACGGGAGAAGUCAUCAAGUGGCACGUGUUCCUCAUCUCCUUCUGGGGCGAGCAGAUCGGCCACAAGGUGAAGAAGAUCUGUGACUGUUACCACUGCCACAUCUACCCGUACCCCAGCACCGCCGAGGAGCGCCGUGAGAUCCAGGAGGGGCUGAGCACCCGCAUCCAGGACCUGUACACGGUGCUGCACAAAACCGAGGACUACCUCAGGCAGGUGCUGUGCAAGGCGGCCGAGUCGGUGUACAGCCGCGCCGUCCAGGUGAAGAAGAUGAAAGCCAUCUACCACAUGCUCAACAUGUGCAGCCUCGACGUGACCAACAAGUGCCUCAUCGCCGAGGUCUGGUGCCCCGAGGCCGACCUGCAGGGCCUGCGCCGUGCGCUGGAGGACGGCUCGAGAGAGAGCGGUGCUACCAUCACCUCGUUUAUGAACACGAUCCCGACGACAGAAACGCCCCCCACCCUGAUCCGCACCAACAAGUUCACCGAGGGCUUUCAGAACAUCGUGGACGCCUACGGCGUGGGCAGCUACCGGGAGGUGAACCCAGCUCUCUUCAGCAUCAUCACUUUCCCCUUCCUGUUCGCCGUGAUGUUCGGGGACUUCGGACACGGCUUCGUGAUGUUCUUGUUUGCCCUCCUGAUGGUGUUAAAUGAAAACCACCCCAGGCUGAGUCAGUCUCAGGAGAUCAUGGGCAUGUUCUUCAACGGCCGGUACAUCCUCCUGCUGAUGGGGCUGUUCUCGGUGUACACGGGCCUCAUCUACAACGACUGCUUCUCCAAGUCCGUCAACCUCUUUGGCUCCGGCUGGAACGUGUCUGCCAUGUACAGCGCCAGCCACGCCCCGGCGGAGCGCGGGAAAAUGGCCCUUUGGAAUGACAGCGUGGUCCGGCGCAGCCGCGUCCUGCAGCUGGACCCGAGCGUGCCCGGGGUGUUCCAGGGCCCGUACCCGCUGGGCAUCGAUCCUAUUUGGAAUUUGGCCACAAAUCGCCUCACUUUCCUGAACUCUUUCAAAAUGAAAAUGUCUGUGAUUUUAGGAAUUAUCCACAUGACUUUUGGAGUCGUUCUGGGAAUAUUUAACCACUUGCAUUUCAGGAAGAAGUUCAACAUCUACCUGGUGUCGGUCCCCGAGCUGCUGUUCCUGCUCUGCAUGUUUGGGUACCUCAUCUUCAUGAUCAUCUACAAGUGGCUGGUCUACUCGGCGGAGACCUCCAGGGUGGCCCCCAGCAUUCUCAUCGAGUUCAUCAACAUGUUCCUGUUCCCGACCACGGCCACCAGCGGCCUGUACGCGGGCCAGGAGCACGUGCAGCGGCUGCUGCUGGCCGUCACCGCGAUGGCCGUGCCCGUGCUCUUCCUGGGGAAGCCGCUCUUCCUGCUGUGGCUGCACAACGGGCGCAGCUGCUUCGGGGUCAGCAGGAGUGGGUACACACUGGUCAGGAAGGACAGCGAGGAGGAGGUGUCUCUGAUGGGCAGCCAGGACAUAGAGGAGGGGAGCACCCCGCUGGAGGACGGCUGCAGGGAGGUGACCUGUGAAGAGUUUAACUUUGGAGAAAUAUUGAUGACCCAAGUGAUCCACUCCAUCGAGUACUGCCUGGGCUGCAUCUCCAACACCGCGUCCUACCUGCGGCUCUGGGCCCUCAGCCUGGCGCACGCACAGCUGUCCGACGUCCUGUGGGCCAUGCUGAUGCGCGUGGGCCUCCGCGUGGACAAGACCUACGGGGUCCUGCUGCUGCUCCCGGUGAUGGCGCUCUUCGCCGUGCUGACCAUCUUCAUCCUGCUGGUCAUGGAGGGGCUGUCUGCGUUCCUCCACGCCAUUCGCCUCCAUUGGGUGGAAUUUCAGAACAAAUUCUAUGUUGGUGCAGGCACCAAAUUUGUUCCGUUCUCAUUCAGACGACUUUCAUGGAAGUUCAGCGACGACAGGGCGUGACUGCAGUGCUGCAGCCGUCGGGCUUUCCCGUUGACGGAGGAAUAUCAUGUUGUAGAAAUUCACUUGUGUCCGAUUUACGAUCAGAAAAAUUCUGUCUUCAUUGAUUGCCUUAGGAUCUAGCCAAAUAAUUCUGUCGACGCUCAACCCCUGAGCCACACCGGCCGGGCUCACAUCAGACCUUUUCAUUGUGUGACGAUUCCACGCUGCUCUCCAUGGUGUCACCCAGAGCCGGUUGAAAUUGCAGCGUUUGUCCCUCAUGUUCAAUGUCGGCCGUUAGUGACGCUGAGGAACCUGGACAACGAUUCUGCCGCCAGCUUUCCCACUUCCCCUCACAGGUUGUCCGUUUUCAUUACUCGACUCCAGGGGCGAGUCACAAAGUGGGAGCUAACUCAUCCCGAGGAAACCCAGCAUUCGCCCGUUAGUGAACGAGAGACAGCACUUGCUGGAACCCUCCCUGCCUGCUGCUCACUGUCCCGGGGCCACUUCGGUAAUUCUAACGAACACCUAUCGGUAUGGGGCCAGGAGUGCGUCAUGUCUCCACGGAAACUUAUGUAGAAUGUAAUUCUAAAAAAGCAAAUGAAUGGUCCUAACAGAACGCUCUAGAGACAGUGUGAUGGUGUCCCUUCAGCACUAAUGGGAAUUUUAUUUCCUAACGAAGCUGUUGGUCCCAGCGUCGUGUCACCAGAGCAGUUGUUUUGCUUUGUUUUUAAGCUAUUUGGUGGGACUGUUGUGUGUACAGUGUUGAAGGCAAGACUUUAUUCUCUUGAUAGCAAAUACCAAGAGGAAAAGUGGCCAGUGGUCCGGGCGAUGUUCUAAAUAUGAUUCUUUUUCUAAAGAUCCGUGUCAUGAUGGCCAGGUUUUCCAGGUUUCGUUCUGUGUGUUCACGGAGUCCUAAAACAUAAAACCAAGGAUUUCUUCCGUCAUCUAGAAUCUGAGUUCAUCCCUGAAGGUGGAGAGCAUCCUUGUGGUGACGUAAUCAUGGUCCGCUCGGAAGCCCUACGUUGUUCUGACGGGGUCACGGGGAGCCCCGGACUUUCCGUUCAUCGUGGACGUGACUUUGCAAAGACUCGCCUCGCCGAAUGCCCCGCUUCCUCCUUUCCGCACGGGUAUUUUGUAACAGCCUCCGGCUCUCCGUUUCUACCUGCAGCAGUUUGGGGAGGCCUAGCACGUCUGGAGCACAGGCAGCUCUUAUGGACGUUUUAGGUCCGUGUGGUUUGGAAAACAAAAACGAAAAGUAACUUCCACCGCUGCUCUGCAGUCUGCAUUUCUCGACUGAAAUGUUGAAGCCAGGUUUGCUGGCACGCCACCUGGUCUCUCCAGCAAGAUGACUGAGGCAUCGCAAUUCCAGGCCAGGACACAGGGCGGUCCCAGGGACGGUCCGGCAGCUGGCACCGAGCUGAGCUUUGGGUGAGGAUUGUAAGGAGCCCUUAGAACUCGCCACUCACUUCCUAGUGGGAAACCCGACCAGGGCGAGGUGCCGAGGUCGGCCUGGAAGUGAGGGGCUCCAGGCUGAGCAGACACUGGUGGACAAGCCCUGGCGCCCGGAUGCACUAGGACACGUGCAUCUUCCUCUCAGUAUUGAACUUUUUACUAAUGAAAAUAAAUCUAUAUUUUUAAACCGUGA